CCCAGCUUUGAGGAACUCUGGAGGAGUCAGGUGAGUGGACCAUUCCCCAGGUAAGCAGAAAGGUGAUAAGAAACGGUAUCAAGAGUGCCGUCCCUCUCUGAAACAAACAUUCAAUCCAAGACAAGGGUAAGUUCAUUCUAAAGGCUUAGGAGAUUUGUUCUUGAGUAGAUGUCAGAGAGAGCCUAUAUUCCUUGCUAAUUACUGGCUUUCUCUAGAAAAAUCAGAAAGGGUAUCAAAAGGUUUCCAAAUGGAAGCCUAUUAUUUUCUUAUGAAUGUAACCACCCUAAUAUUUUGUUUUCCAGAGGUCAUAUUAGAGUCUACCCUAGAAUCUACAUCUGCCUUUGAGGAGCCGUAUCCCCAGAUAAGAAAACAUGCUUCUUUCCAGUCUGAAGGCCAGACUGGCUGCCACUUCUCUCCGCCUGCCAACGAGUCAUUAGCAAACAAUGAGCAAACCAGCGACUACAAAACAAAAAGGAAAUAGGCAUGCAGCAGCACAAGGUAAUGACAGCUGAGUGUCUGGAGGAUAAAGUAUCCAAGAAUCAGGCUGGAGGCUGCCCUCUUCACGGGGAGCUUCAGGAUGAGGGAAAAAGGGAGGCGAAGCACAGCUGAGGAAUACAGUCUCCAGCCACACAGCUGACUAGGGAGGAGCCUUGAGAUAGGUAUACUUGGGGAGGCUUGGGACACAUUCACCGGGGAUGUGUGCAGCUGAGGGCGUACACAGCUGUGGUAAUGGCUGGUGCAGGAUAUUUCCUCUACCUAGCCCACAGUGGGAAUGUUUGGAGUGAAUAAUUCAAGAAAGUAGUUUCCAGAACACCCAAGUUGAAGCUCUUUGAGUGACAAGUACCAGAAACUCUCUUUAACCUAACUUGAGCGAAAACAGGAAUUUAUCAGAAAGAAUCCUAGAAUGCCUCAUAGAACCAAAGGGCAGGAAUUAUGCAGGGGCUGGGCUGCUUGUGUAUCUGGAGUCAGGAACUAAAAGGCAGUUAAGAAACCAGCCCUUGCUGCCUGCCUCACCCCCAUCCUCCAGCACCACAUGCUUUCUCGACUCUCUCCUCGCACUGUUCCACUUUUGUGUCCUCACUCUGGCAUCUGCUUAAUGUUUAUAUGAUCAAACAUGGUGGCCACAGCCCCAGAGUUUAAUUGUCCUCAGUUCAAAUAUGCCAUAAAACUGAAUAAACAUUUCAUUCCAAUUCCAUAUUUCCAAGAGAGACCAUUCGCUUCACCCUAUUUAGGUUCCUCUGUUUUCUAAGCAACCAUGUGAUAUAAUUUGGCUGUGUCCCCACUCAAAUCUCAUCUUGAAUUGUAGCUUCCAUAAUUCCCACAUGUUGUGGGAGGGACCAGGUGGGAGAUAAUUGAAUCAUGGGAGCAGGUCUUUCCCUUGCUGUUCUCAUGAGAGUGAAUACAUCUCAUGAGCUCUGAUGGUUUUGUAAAGGGGAGUUGCCCUGCACAUGCUCUCUUGCCUGCUGCUGUGUAAGAUGUGACUUUGUUCCUCCUUACCUUCCACCAUGAUUGUGAGGCCUCCUCAUGUGGGACUGUGAGUCAACUCAAUCUGUUUCCUUUAUAAAUUACCCAGUCUCUGGUGUGUCUUUAUUAGCAGCAUGAGAACAGACUCAUACACCAUGAUAAGGUAAAUUCAUGUGCCAUGGCAUGGCAAUGGGGAAUCAUCGCUAUGCAUGGGGAGACAGUUCUCAGAGAAGGGGUUAUGGACUGGGAGGAAAGUCCAAUAAUAAACACACUCACAUUGACUCUCAACGAUCUUAAAGCACAGCUGAGAUGGUUUUAUGAAAUGGCAA
Molecule: long non-coding RNA, 1793 nt
Organism: Macaca mulatta (Rhesus monkey)
Lineage: Eukaryota; Metazoa; Chordata; Mammalia; Primates; Cercopithecidae
Source: Ensembl